Capra hircus (goat) is the source of this 5594-nucleotide RNA transcript. It is a transcript of the gene named period circadian clock 3, with no coding region annotated. NCBI's taxonomy places the organism in Eukaryota, Metazoa, Chordata, Mammalia, Artiodactyla, Bovidae. The transcript is spliced from 23 exons. The record is from RefSeq and is a predicted model, not a curated record.
CGGUCGCCUGGCACGCGGCGGGCCUCGAGACCGCGCGGGGUCCGGGCUUCUGGGCUGAGCAGCGCCGGCGGCGGCGGGUGAGUGCUCGUCCCGGGCAGGGUGGGCUCGGAGCCCGCCGCCCGCGGUCGCCUCAAGCCUGUACUGCGCUGUGGGAAGUUUGUGCUUCAAGUGGCUUCUUGCUCGGUCCUGUUCCUGAGUGCGCCGCGAUCAUUGGGGCUGCCGGGGCCGGGGUCUCCCCCAGGGCUGCCCACCCCAGGAGCCACAGCCAGGCUUCCGCAAUCGAAUUGUGUUUCUCUUGACACUUGUCACUUUUAUUUCUACCCUCCCCCUCCAGGGUGGAUCUCCGGUGAGCGGAGACAUCCCAAAUUGCAGGGAAAUACUGGGGAGAAAAGUCCCCCCGGAGGAGCAGGGUCAGUAAUUGUCCGCUAAUGAUGACUGACAUCUGUAAGGCAUUGGCAUGGACCACAAUGAGAAAUACGGUUCGGUCGCCGAUUACAAAGUAGCAAAGAGCAGGCGACUGACUGAGGGCUGCUGGGCGAAAGAUGGAUCCCUGUGAAGAUGUAGAAAGGUCCAGUGGUAAAUCUGAGAACCCCAGGGUGAACCAGCGUCAUGAACUUGAAGGACAACAGGCCAGUGGUCCUGAGGCCCCCGAGAAUGAUGCUGCUGAGCUAUGGAGCCAGAAAUGCGAGCUGCGGAGCAAAUUCGUGCAGACCACCAACAGUGAACAGCAGAAUCGAAACAGAGUUUCUGAAGAACUUAUAAUGGUUGUCCAAGAAAUGAAAAAAUACUUCCCAUCGGAAAGACAUGGUAAACCAAACACACUGGAUGCCCUUAACUAUGCCCUUCUCUGCGUACACAGUGUACAAGCAAACAAUGAGUCUUCCCAGAUUCUCAGUCAGAACGGAGCACCUCAAGGUGAUGUGACCUUGUGCAGUCUGGAGGAGCUGGCCACUAUUGCUUCAGGUCACACUUCCAAAACCACAGGUACCUUUGUGGCAGUGUUUUCAUUUCUCUCUGGAAGGUUAGUGCACAUUUCUGAACAGGCUCCUUCGAUCCUGAAUUGUCAGAAAGAGUUCUUGGAGUCUUGUCAUUUUGUUGAACUGCUUGCCCCCCAAGACAUGAGGGUGUUCUACACGCACACUGCCCAUGCUCAGCUUCCGUUCUGGAACAACUGGACACAAAGAGAGGCCUCACAGUACGAAUUGGCACCAGUGAAGUCCUUCUUCUGCAGGAUCGGCGGAGGUGAAGCUGGGGAGCCGCAGCGGCCUUACUGCCCAUUCCGGAUCACCCCCAACUUGAUUCACGUGCACAGCUCGGCCCUCAUGGAGCCUGAGCCCUGCUGUCUCUUGCUGGCGGAGAAGAUUCACUCGGGUUACCAAGCUCCUCAAAUCCCAGCAGAUAGAAGAAUUUUUACCACAACACAUACUCCUGGUUGUGUUUUUCUUGAAAUAGAUGAAAGGGCCGUGCCUUUCCUGGGUUACCUACCUCAGGACCUGAUCGGGACAUCCAUCCUAGCAUACCUGCACCCAGAAGAUCGCCCUCUGAUGCUUGCCGUGCACCAAAAAGUCUUGAAGUAUGCAGGCCAUCCUCCCUUUGAGCACCUGCCCAUUAGAUUUUGUUGUCAAAAUGGGGAUUACGUCAUACUGGACUCCAGUUGGUCCAGCUUCGUGAACCCAUGGAGCCGGCAGGUUUCUUUCAUCAUUGGUCGCCAUAUAGUGCGAACGAGUCCACCAAACAAGGAUGUUUUUGCCACCAGAGUGAAAAAGCCUGUUCACGGGAGCAAGUCCGGCGGCUACGGGAGCCUGGGGAGCAGCAGGUCACAGGAGCCUCAGGUCAGCCUUGCGUCCUCCAGUGAGUCCAGCGGGCACGGCGUGGAUGAGGUGCCGGAGGCACCGUUGACUUUGCAGCAGAUCUGUGCCAGUGUGAACAAGGUCAAGAAUCUAGGUCAGCAGCUCUACGUCGAGUCAAGGACCAAGUCAGCAAACAAGCCAGUGUUGGGAACCGGCUCACGACGGCCUGGGGAUGAGCAGAAGACCUCCUCUUCCUUCCAGACAGUGAAAAAUAAUAGCAUCUACACUGAGUCCUGUGAGGAUUUGAGAAAGGUUCAGCGUAGCCCAUCCUAUCAGCAGAUAAACUGUAUUGAUAGUGUUAUCAGGUACCUGAAGAGCUACCACAUCCCAGUUUUGAAGAGGAAGUGUAUCUCCUCUACAAAUACAACUUCCUCAUCCUCAGAAGAGGACAGACAAAGCCACAGAGCAGAUGACAUCCAGGCACUGCAAGCUGUUUCUCAGAUCCCAGCUGUACCUGCAUCAGAAAUGCCCACUAAGGGACAGUCCACAGAUGCUGAAGGAGGAGCUCCGUGGACCCUGAGCACAGUGACUCUGAGCCUGGACACCAGCCAGUGCAGCUCCAGCAGUGUCCUUGUCGACAUCCCACCACCAGACUCAGAGGAAUUGACUCCAGCAGAGCACAUACCGUUGGCCUGUGAGCCCUGGACUCUCAGCACACACCCAGCUCCACUGGCCGCAGAAGCGUUUAAACACUCGGGGCUCACAAAGGCUGUGCUGUCAGCCCACACACAGAAGGAAGAGCAGAGCUAUGUAGAUAAAUUCCGGGAGAAGAUUCUGUCGUCACCCUAUAGCUCCUAUCUUCAGCAGGAAAGCAGAAGCAAAGCUAAAUAUUUGUAUGUUCAAGGAGGUUCUGCUUCCAGGCCGACACGAUCAGCUGGUUGCAAAAAGGGGAAACACAAGCGAAAGAAGCCUCUCGUGUGGUCGGAUGACAGGAGCGCCAAGGAUCACUUCUGUCCCCACCAGGAUGGACAGCCCUGGUGCCCCUCGUCCGCCUCCUGUCCCCAUGCCUCUGGCCCCUCGCUCCCAGCUACAGUGAUGGUUCCCAGCCCAGCCCCUUGCCUCGUCCCAGCUCUUCCCCUCCCAGCCACGACCUCCCUUGGCAGAGAACAUGAAGCCUUGAUAACUGUACUGCCAAGGCUGCCUGAGCCACCUUUGCCUAGCAGCCUGCAGUAUUUCCCAGCUCUGCCUUCUGCUUACUUCGACACUUUUGUGAACAUCUUCCUGCAUGACCCCUCUCUCUCUCCCCUCUCGUCACUGUCAUUCUCCCCAUAUCCCUUCUUGGGAGCAGCACCCUCUUCCGAAAUACUCUCUUCAGUAUCAGCAGUGGCUCCAAACCCGGGCCCACUGUCUUCAACCAUCAACCCAAGGAGCAGAGAGGAGAAGUGGGAGACACGGAAUGAAGGACACCCCCUCAUCAACUCAGGGAGCAGCUCCAUGCUCCAGCUUGACCUCCUGCAGGAGGACAGGCCCCGAUCCUGUGCAUCCCCAGAAACUGUGUGUGGUGUCCGUGGCAGCAGUGGGACUGAGAUAGAUGGUUUUACUAUCAAGAAACCAUCCAUAGCAUCACUGCACUCGGUGUCUCCGCCAGGAACGGGCCCUGCAGCAUCAGGAAGCAGUGGCAGCAGUAUAAACUUUGCUCCUAGUGAUGAUUCUUCAGAAAUCUCUGAAAAUGGGCAGCAAUCUCAGGACAUACAGGAAAAAGGAACGUUUCCUAAGUUAGCUGAAGAGUCCAUCUGGAGAAUGAUAAAGCAGACACCUGACCACAUUCUCAUGACGUAUCAGGUGCCUGAGAGGGUUAAAGAAAUUGUACUGAAAGAAGACCUAGAGAAGCUGGAAAGCAUGAGACGGCAGCAGCCACAGUUUUCUCGAGGGCAAAGGGAGGAGAUAGCCAACGUGCAUUCUUGGAUUCACAGCCAGGCGAUCCCCCGGGAAAUAGACACCCAGGGCUGUGUCACCUGCGGACACAGAGACUCAGCUGGUGAUGCUGCAGACCCCAUGGUCCGGAUCCAACAGAAGCAGCAGCCGAGUGACUCUGAAGGACCUGCACUGCCUCCCCAGACCUGUUGGACUGCUCCUCCUCCCUGUGAUUCUCUCUGAACCCUUGCAGCUUAAGUGACCAGGAAGCUGUCAUUGAAUGUUAAGGCUUUCCCUUCUUGAUUUUUUUAGCAGACAUCUUUUUCCUGAAGCAGACAUUGUAUAUAGAUUCUUUCACUCCUCUUUUUUCCCAAUGUAUUUAAACUGGCGAAUAGACUCUUUUUCUAGUUUAUUAGCUGUCCUCUAAUGAGACUGGAUGGCCUCUAAAGAGGAGGUCUCUCCGUCCCUGCCAGAGGUCUGAUGGCCACUGUCUUCUCUCUGCCCCUGAAUAAAGGAAAAUGCUUCUCCCUUUCAAGUUUUAUAGCUUUUUAUAAAAUGCUAUAAUCAUAUAAUCAUAAUCAGGAGAAUCGACCUUUCUAUCCAUGAUGCUGCUGGACCCUGACCUGAGACUCAAGCCCUCAGCUUAGAUUUACUUUCUAAAGUAGAACAGUUGGCCCUUGGUAUCUGCAGGGUGAAAUCCAGGAACACUCAACGUCCCUUCUAUAACAGGAAGGUUCGCCAGCCCUCUGUACCUGUGGGUUCUGCAUCCAGAGUUCUCUACCCUCCCCAACUCUUCCCACCUCGAUCACAGGGGCCGGCUGUAGUUUCCAGAAUGUACUUCUUUCUUAUAACUGUCGGAACCACUUUGAAACGAUGACUGUGACUUUUCUAGAAUUUUCUCACUUGAAGCCAUUCCAUGCCCAUAUUCCUAUCUUAGGCUUAGAGAACUCUCCUGUUCUGAUCCAUCUUGAUGGUUAAAUGAUCUCUGAAGCCCUCAUUGCUUUGGUCAAGUUGUGUGAUAUUUUUGCCCUUGGUGAAAAAUCAAAUUUUAAACAGUGAACCAGCCUGGAUAUUGUCAUGGAUAGAAUCAUUGCAGCCUUCUGUGCUGAUGACCGUUUUAAUCUGUGUAAAUCAGAAAUGACACGGAGCCAUCAGAGGACCAUUCUGCAUGUCCGUAUGCACUUUUUAAACAUGACCUUCUCUAGUACAAGCCCUCUUUCAGAUUUCUUUCUGGAUGUUUGUUUUAUUGACAUUUAACUGUUUCUUUGCGUUACUACACAUUUAGGCGCAAAAUUGGUGCUUGUUGUAAGCAGAUCUAUAAAACCAGUUAUAGUUUUGGUGUUUUGGUAAAUAGCUGAGCUGGUAUAUUUUAAAAUGACCAUAAUGCUUCUGCUUCUGGGGAUGAGCAGAGAAGGCUCAACAGUGCUGGCUUCUCCCCACCGCAGGGGCUCCACCCAACUAUAAACCAUCAUUGAAGUUUAGUAACUUUUUGUAUUGAUGCCUGUGGAAAUCAGUAAUAAAAAUGUGUACUACAGGUUUCCGUGUUUACGUAAAUGUUACCAAAAGGCUGUGUUUUUUUGGAAAAGAGGUCAGAAUUUAUCAACAGAUGCUGUGUGAAUGGAAUCAUUUUACAAUUAAGUACAACUUCAUCAUAACUCGAAAGGUAAAUUUAAUCCAAAUGGAAAUUUUGUACCAGCUAAGUUUAUCAUUUUGUGGAUUUCCCUGUUUUUAAUGGUUAUUAAUAUUUUAAUCGGGUAUCUUUUUUAAAAACAAUAAACAGUGAACAUGUAAAGCUUGAGAAGUUUUCUUGCACUGCAUGAACAAACCUUUGCCCCGAAUACAUAAAUCGCUUAUAUCAUUGAGAAGUAUUUCCUGAGAUUGAAACACACU